This 1359-nucleotide long non-coding RNA is filed under the name Sus scrofa (pig). Its description in RNAcentral is "lncRNA (ENSSSCG00070012554.1)". The stretch from base 1 to 63 matches the Rfam family "Eukaryotic small subunit ribosomal RNA", at positions 1769 to 1831 of the family's 1831-position model. The record is from RNAcentral. Lineage: Eukaryota; Metazoa; Chordata; Mammalia; Artiodactyla; Suidae.
CUAUCUAGAGGAAGUAAAAGUCGUAACAAGGUUUCCGUAGGUGAACCUGCGGAAGGAUCAUUAACGUUGGCGAGAGCGUGGCAAGCGGCGGCGGCCCGCGUCUGCCUGUCCGCCCGCCCUGCUCGCUCUCUCGCCUCCUCCACCUGCGCGGCGCGGGACGCGAGGGCGGGAGGGAAGGCGCCUGGAGGUGCGUGUUGCGCGGCGUGGGGAAGGGGGCUCACCUGGCCGGGGGUUGGUGCCCUUGUCGGGUCACCCGGGGGUGGGAGGAAAGCGGAGAGAGAGCUGCUCUGGGGAGUGUGGGUGGCAUCCGAGGGACCGGGUCAGGCGGCUUGGCCGUUCCUUUCCCCGGCCUGCUCCCCCCACACGCGCCUUCUCCUCCUCCUCCCCCCCCCCGGCGAUCCCGGCUGCCACCGCCCCCGUCCCACCCCCCCCCCGACGCCCCGUGUAGUGCUUGCACGCAUUCCGGCGUUUCUCUUCCGCCUGACCUCCCCGCCACGUCGCCGAGAGGCGGGUCCGAGGGUUGAUCCGGGCUUUUUGGGGGGGGGGCCGGGCCGUGCCCGGCCCCCCACCCCCCGCGCGUCUCUGUCUCCGGUCGCGCGGCCUUGGCUGCCCCGUGGUGUUUUCGGCGCGUCUCGGGAUGGGCUUUGCCCUCCCGCCGCCGGCUCUGGGCCGGGUUUUCUCCCGGCCGUUGGUCCUCCAUGCCUCCGCUCCACUGCUCCGAUCCUGCCGCCGCUUGGCCGGGCCCUCUCUCCCUGCCCUCGGCGGCGGCGGCGGCGGCGCUGCUUUGCGGUGGGGGCGGUGGUCGGCCGGCGGCCGAGUGGCUCCCGCGUCACGGGCCGUCAGUGCCACGUAAGACCCGCGUUCCGAGGGCGGGCCGCGCGACGGACGGAGUUCGUUACCCGUCGUCAGGCCGGCGUCUUGGGGGCGCCUGGGUGCGGCGCUUUCCCCCCUCCCUGCCCGCCUCGCCCGCCUCCCUCUCUCCAGGUACCUAGCGCGUCCCGGCGCGGAGGUUUAAAGACCCCUAGGGGGGGUCGCCCGUCCGCCUUGGGGUCGGGGCGGUCGGGCCGGUGGGGAGGAGGAGUCCCUUCUCCCCCAGCUCCGCUUCCCCCCCAUGGGGCGGGGCCCCCGUGCCUCGUCGCGGUCCAGCCCCUCUCACCGCGGCCGUCGGGAGGGGGGCUUACUCGGUGGCCAUCGCCGGCCAGUCGGUCCGUGGCCGUGUGCGAGCGAGCGCGUGUGUGCCCCGUGCCUGUGUUGGGGGGGUGGGAACCCCCGGGCGCCUGUGGGGUUGUCCGUGCCCCACCCACUCACCCGUGUGUGUGUGUGUGUGUGUGUGUGGGCGCCGGACGCCCCGUCGUGUGA